CUUAAAGUUUACAUCUUUUUAAGUUUUUGGCUUCUGGGUUUUAUGGGGUUUUGAGGUGAAAUGGCCUGAAUAGGUGAGACUUACUCUUGAGGAAAAGAGAGGAGACAAUUUCUGGGUUCUGCCGACACAGAGCAAAAGAGAGGAGACGGGG
Rosa chinensis is the source of this 151-nucleotide long non-coding RNA. RefSeq lists it as uncharacterized. NCBI's taxonomy places the organism in Eukaryota, Viridiplantae, Streptophyta, Magnoliopsida, Rosales, Rosaceae. The transcript is spliced from 2 exons. The record is from RefSeq and is a predicted model, not a curated record.